RNAcentral lists this ribosomal RNA (253 nucleotides) under uncultured bacterium. RNAcentral describes it as "partial 16S ribosomal RNA". It matches the Rfam family "Bacterial small subunit ribosomal RNA", at positions 524 to 776 of the family's 1533-position model. The record is from RNAcentral.
UACGGGGGGGGCAAGCGUUGUUCGGAAUUACUGGGCGUAAAGGGCUCGUAGGCGGCCAACUAAGUCAGACGUGAAAUCCCUCGGCUUAACCGGGGAACUGCGUCUGAUACUGGAUGGCUAGAGGUUGGGAGAGGGAUGCGGAAUUCCAGGUGUAGCGGUGAAAUGCGUAGAUAUCUGGAGGAACACCGGUGGCGAAGGCGGCAUCCUGGACCAACACUGACACUGAGGAGCGAAAGCCGGGGGAGCAAACGGG